GCCCGGCUGGUUCAGUCGGUUGAGCAUCCGACUGCAGCCCAGGUCACGAUCUCGCGGUUCGUGGGUUCGAGCCCCGCGUCGGGCU
This 85-nucleotide transfer RNA is filed under the name Felis catus (domestic cat). It matches the Rfam family "tRNA". From Rfam's summary of the family: Transfer RNA (tRNA) molecules are approximately 80 nucleotides in length. Their secondary structure includes four short double-helical elements and three loops (D, anti-codon, and T loops). The record is from Rfam by way of RNAcentral. Lineage: Eukaryota; Metazoa; Chordata; Mammalia; Carnivora; Felidae.